CAGGGAAUGAGAGGAGUGGAGACGUGUUCCAGAUGUGGAGUCAGCAAGCUCUACAACUGGAAGGAUCCAACCAGGAUCACACAUGCACUCAGUUGCACAUCUCCUUGGUUCCCUCCAUCUGGGAUAGUCUUCCAGCCUUUCUUUGUCUUUCUUGGCUUGAAGAAUAGAGAGUAUAGCUGGAGAGCACCCGGUGAUGCAGAUUCUACUACUUUCUUAUUGGGAGGCACGGAGAAGUGCGUUAACUUGCUCAAGUUUACACAGUUGGCCAGUGGCAGAACCAGGACUGCAGUGCCUGAAGCGUGGCUCCUGUACGCACACUCUGGAUCCUGUACUGAAGUGUGUCAGUGCACAUGGGUCAGAAAGUGCAGGCGAAGGUUUCAGGAAACCGAGAGCCCAGGAAAUGAGCUUUGGACCUGGCGGAGCCAUCAGAAUGUUCAUCCCUGUGCUGUCCACCCAGGAAAGCAAGCGUCAGCCUGUGGGGCUGCUCUGUGGCAGCACAGACAGCUUGUGGAAGACAGGAGGAUGGUCAUUAGCCUCAUCUGUAAGGCCCAGCAGAAGGCUCUGGAGGGCCUUUCAGGGCUGUGCUCGCAGUGCCUGGGUGGGAGGCUUGCGGGGAGGGGGGUCCUGCACUCUGCCAAACCUGCCCUGGGCCCCUCCCUCUGGCACUGUUUGCGUAUCUUCCUGCUUCCUCCAGACAUCUCAUUCUCCUUGGAUUGUAAAUAAAAG
Molecule: long non-coding RNA, 726 nt
Organism: Heterocephalus glaber (naked mole-rat)
Lineage: Eukaryota; Metazoa; Chordata; Mammalia; Rodentia; Bathyergidae
Source: Ensembl